RNAcentral lists this transfer RNA (76 nucleotides) under Mus musculus (house mouse). RNAcentral's name for it is "tRNA-Pro". Lineage: Eukaryota; Metazoa; Chordata; Mammalia; Rodentia; Muridae. The record is from RNAcentral.
GGGCUUGAAGUGUGGCUCAGUUGGUAAAGGGCUUGCCACGGAAGCAUGGGGACCUGAGUUCAAUCCCCAGAGCCCA